Otolemur garnettii (small-eared galago) is the source of this 119-nucleotide ribosomal RNA. NCBI's taxonomy places the organism in Eukaryota, Metazoa, Chordata, Mammalia, Primates, Galagidae. The record is from Ensembl.
GUCCAUGGCCAUAUCACCCUGAACAUGACCCAUCUUUUCUGAUCUCAGAAGCUAAGCAGGGUAGGGCCUGGUUAGUACUUAGAUGGGAGACCACCUGGGAAUACGGGGUGCUAUAGGCU